AUGUAAUCGGUGUAGAGAC
This 19-nucleotide non-coding RNA is filed under the name Rattus norvegicus (Norway rat). Lineage: Eukaryota; Metazoa; Chordata; Mammalia; Rodentia; Muridae. The record is from RNAcentral.